Molecule: small nuclear RNA, 57 nt
Filed under: Xenopus tropicalis (tropical clawed frog)
Lineage: Eukaryota; Metazoa; Chordata; Amphibia; Anura; Pipidae
Description: U7 small nuclear RNA (ENSXETG00000049487.1)
Rfam family: U7 small nuclear RNA
About the family: Animal histone pre-mRNAs are spliced by a different mechanism than nuclear pre-mRNAs and self-splicing introns. This processing involves the U7 snRNP, which contains only one RNA species: U7.
Source: Rfam by way of RNAcentral
AAGUGUUACAGCUCUUUUACUAUUUGUCCAGCGGGUUCUUACUGUGUAGGAGCCGCC